Non-coding RNA from Struthio camelus australis, 4329 nucleotides. The record is from RefSeq and is a predicted model, not a curated record. NCBI's taxonomy places the organism in Eukaryota, Metazoa, Chordata, Aves, Struthioniformes, Struthionidae.
UAUUACUUUUUAUUUGAUAAGCAGUAAAACCACAGAGCUCACAUGGAGCACAGUUUAUAUGUGCCCUCUGUUAAUUGCGCAUUCACAUUUGCAAUAUAAAGACUCAGUACUUGCUUCUUUUGGAAAUAAUGGUGGCCGGUACGGAGCAGCAGGGAGGGGGGCCCAGCUGUGUGUUUCAGCAUGUCUGCACAUAUGUUUUCAAUCCUGGAAUAAUCCCAUUAUAUGGUCAUUUUAGCCUGGUGUUUUUGCCUUCAUCUCACUUCUUUUUAAGGCUUAACACUUUUCCAGUUGAUUGAGCUGGCAUCAAUCACACUAAUAUGCAGCAAUAAUGUUCCUGUUAAAAAUUAUGGAGGAUCCAUGUAGCUCAGGGCGCUGAGGACAGGCUCUCAGGUCCUCUGCCCUCUCUGCUGGGGUUGGAAAGCUGAACGGGGGCAUGUUCUCCAUGAGUGUCAUGGGGGUAUUUGCUGGCCACAGCAACCUGCAGCAGAGAGAAAUUGCCCUUCAUUGGGUUCCUAAGCCUCCUGCAGCUUGGGGAUACGGCUAUCGAUGUGGUUACCUUUGCAGCCCUCUCGUGCUGUUGAAGGUUACAGCUUUAAGAAACAAGAGCCUUACAUGCAAGUUUGUGAAGUGCUACUACCAGCAACACAUCAAGGAUAAACUGUCUCCAAUUACCUGCUUUGCUUACGCCAACAACUGCCAUAUAUUAGAAAUCAAACCAGCCACAGAAAACCACACUAUUAAGCUGCUUUCUUGUAAUCAUUAAUUAUGAAGAUACCAUCACUCAUGUUUCUAAUCUGUGAACUGUCCUGCAGUAAUUGAUUUUUUUUUUUUUUUUUAAUUCAGGGAAUUGUAAUGGUGGGGCUGCAAACAAGGUUGGCAAGAGAUUCCUGCAGGGACCCAGUCCCACAGGUCUGAGCCGGUGAAACCUCCUGCUGGUGACCGAUGAGGGCCAGCGUAGAGCCUGCAUGGGUACAGUUCCUUGAGUAGCAAGUUUUUCUUGACUUGCAUAUGUGCACAAAGGCCAUUCCUGUUCUUAAACAAAAGGAUGCAGCUGAGCUAACGCUUUCCCAAGCUGAAGGUGAGUCCUAAUUUCUUUUUCAAAUUGCAGUUUUAGAUUCCUUUGAGCUGCUGAGAAUGAAGAGGUUUUUUCCCGUGUGAGCCAGCACAAGUCACCCGCUCAGCCUGCUCAAAGGGGUGGUCGGCACGAUUGCGUAUUUUUGUAGCCUUCUGCCACUGCCGGCCUCGUCACUGCUCUGCAUGAUCAGUUGUUUGCCCCACUCUGUUAGAUUUUCUUGGGGGAUAUUUGAAGCCAUGGUGAUUUGUGCCUUUUUGUCUCAUUUUCCCGCACUGCGCUGCUAUUAAUUUUUUUACACUAGAGAAGAUGAUGACCAGGAGAUCUGAGGCCUCUGGGUGAAAUUCAUCCUCUGCAAAUAGAGUUAAAAUGAACACUCAGCUGGGCAUGGACCUUUCCUGUCUUUCAGCAUAUUUUCAGGGCAGAUUAAGCUAAAUGUAUUUUCAUGUAUAGGAUUUCCCAUUCACAUCAGUGGAUGUUUCAGUUAACCUGAUGAGGUUUCUAUGAACUAUAGGACUUGAGAGGCUUGAAGAGAGUAUUUGAGACUGUUUUUCCCUUUGACAUGGUGCAGUUGUGAAUGGCUCAGUACCAGGCUGAUAGCGGUAACUCUGUUUUAAAAGGAGUUAAGUUAUAAGGUUUGGGCAGUUCCUUGUUUGUUUUGAAUCAGCUUCAAAAUCAGCAGGCUCCCCAGUUUACACCACCAGCAUCUGGCUGGGCACAAUUUUAAUGUGCAGCUUCAAGUUGCAAACGGAAUUGAAAAUUUCCAACAUAUGGUGCUGGAUUCAUAAGUGGUAAUUGCAUCAGCUUAGGAUCAAUGGAGCAGAAUAAUAUCUGCCCACUAAUAAUGGCUUAAUAAAAUUAGUAGCAUUGGCCCUGCCGUGAAUUAUUUUAAAAGAGAGGUUGUAGAAUAGUAAUGUAAACAAUCAUUGAUUUUUCUUGGAGAAGUAGAGCACUGUAAAUUAAGUAUGACUCUUCUCACUGUGUAGUAGGUAGCAGGCAAUGCAGUGAAUCUGUCAGAUUACUUAAAAGGUGAGCGUAGAGGGAAAAACCGAACUGGGCCUGUGUGAUGUUUGGGAGGCGAUAGAUAAAUGAAAUGAGCCUGGAUCAAUCAGAAGAUGAAAGCUCAAAGCUACAUGGCGCUUAAUAUUGCUGAGAUCCAACAUGACCCAAUUAAUAACACAUUAGUACAGGCCAGGUCUGUUUGGUUGCUCAGGUCUGUUAAUUGAAAUACUGCGAUUAAUGGUAUGGAAGGAGAUGAGGGAUAUGUAGGAAAACGAAAGGAGCCUGCAGCUGGGAGUGGGCACGCUCGCAGGCAGCGGGGAGAGGAUGAGGAUGGCUGGGGAGGCAGAGCGACUGCUGGGGCAAUGAACGUACCCAGCUGCCUCUGACAGCCGGAGGGGCGAGGGUUGAAAGUGGGCUGGCUCCACUUGAUCCUAGGAAGUCUCUUGCAAUUUUUGGAGGUAUCUUUAAGAAACUUGGUCAUCUGGCCUGAUGUCCCUAUGUGAAUGGUUUUUCACCUGGCUACUGUCGAAAAAUGCUAUCCACGACGGUGAACUUGCUCGUGCAUCUCAACCAUGAGCCCACUGCUGGGAACGAGGGGGAAUCACAGGGUCUCGUGGCUGGGAGCCGUCCCCAACCUUUUUCAUGGACUUGGGGAAACUGCUUUCGCUGCAUGGGCUGGCAUUGGUGACAAAUCGGGUUUUCAAAGCCAAUUCGUCAGGCUGAAUCUGGCUACAGUCAGUGGCGUUGCAAGCUGGCCACGAGUCUGGCCUGCCGGGUCGCUGCGCGUUUUGUUGCUGCCUCCACGCACGGGCCCAUCACUGCCAUGCGGGGCAGGCAGAGGAGUAAGUCGGGGCCAAGUCGUCACCGGGUAUGAAACAGCACAGCUCUGCUCAUGUCAGCUGAUAUGGAUCCAGCGCCUAUUUUUCUUCUUUUCUUCCACAGACUAAUUUUCAUGUCGAUCCUAAUUAAACCCCAAAGCCUAUUGUCUCCAGGACAAUUCCAAGGACAUCUGCUGGUCAGGGCUUUGCAGAAGAGCAGUGAUUUGGAAAUGUGGCCUGGAGCAGUGUGAUAGCACCUUGGAGCCCAGCCUUAAUUAUAGCAAAUUACCAGAAAGAGCUAUAUAAUGAUUUAAGCUGUUACCAUUUCCAGAAUAAUUUGGCUGUAAAAUUGCCUUCAGUUGUCAUUUUUGCCUUACAUCAGUGCUUCUGCUCCAACGCGGGGCUCGACGGCAGGGCAGGUGGGCGCGUUUCUGUAAACAUCCCAAUCACCUACCUUGCAAAAACAAUUCUUCCUUUUCCUUCCACUUCAGUACGCAAACUGCUAUCGGGGAGGGAGGUGGCAAACGGCCCUUCUGGCGAGCGAGGAGGGACGAGCAGUUUAUCUCAGGUCACGUAGCUGCAGCACUUGCCCAGGAUGGCUGGAGAUGAAACAGUUGCUCACCGCUGCCCUGUUUUUUCCAAAUGCCUUAAACCCGACUUGGGGAUUUGUUCCACCGCAUAAAUCAAGGCUUUCUCUAGUGGAGAGCUGCCAGUGCCAGGAGGACAGGAAGACCCCCCACGGAGAGCACGGGUUCAGCAAAAGGACCUAGGUGGAUCCUUCUGGACUGCAGCAGAGUCUGGCCCCGUGUCGGAGGCCGCAGGGAAGGAUAUGGCAUUGCGGCAAGGUCUGCCCCAACAGCCAGGACGGUCCUUUCUGGUGCCUCGGCCCCCAGCGUUUGUGAUCGCCUUGUGAAGGUGCUGGGUGAGCUCGUCCCCUUCAUGUGCGCCCUUGUAUCCCUGCAGGCAGCGGCCACCCAUGCAGCCCUGGGAGCUUGCCUUUGAUUCAAGAAGAAGCCUGCAAAUGCCCAAAGCCGUGACUUUUUGGCAGACUGUGUGGCUAAUGUGGGCUGUCUGGGGGCUUUGCUCCUUGCAGAGGUUGCGUUAGCCUCAGUAAUUGCGUUCGGCCCAGCUGAGACAAUAGGACAGAACUACAAAAGCAGCCGCAACUGCAGAGAAAUGGGUUCAGAAGGAAGAGUUGAAGCAUGACUUUUAAAGUGGGGUAAAAUAAAUGAUCAAGAGGAAGGACCCACAGCUACUCAAUGAGACAUUCCUUAAAUCCUUUGUUUCCAUUUCAGAUGAUAAAGGAAAAUCAUUAGGGCUCAAUUAGUCAUGAAACACGGGGGGUCUCUCUGCAUCACGCUAGCUUGAGACAGCAACUGAUGUUCAAGAGUGCAUCUUCCACAGCCCCUAUGAGAUCAUUAAAUGUCAAACACUUUA